Molecule: ribosomal RNA, 254 nt
Filed under: uncultured bacterium
Lineage: Bacteria
Description: partial 16S ribosomal RNA
Rfam family: Bacterial small subunit ribosomal RNA
Source: RNAcentral
UACGUAGGGUGCGAGCGUUGUCCGGAAUUAUUGGGCGUAAAGAGCUCGUAGGCGGUCUGUCGCGUCGGUCGUGAAAACUUGGGGCUUAACUCUGAGCUUGCGGUCGAUACGGGCAUGACUGGAGUUCGGCAGGGGAGACUGGAAUUCCUGGUGUAGCGGUGAAAUGCGCAGAUAUCAGGAGGAACACCGGUGGCGAAGGCGGGUCUCUGGGCCGAUACUGACGCUGAGGAGCGAAAGCGUGGGGAGCAAACAGG